AGUUACCAGCACGUUAUGGUGGGCACUCUAAGGAGACUGCCGGUGACAAACCGGAGGAAGUGGGGAUGACGUCAAGUCAUCAUGGCCCUUACGGCCUGGGCUACACACGUGCUACAAUGGUCGGGUACAAAGGGUUGCCAAGCCGCGAGGUGGAGCUAAUCCCAUAAAACCGAUCGUAGUCCGGAUCGCAGUCUGCAACUCGACUGCGUGAAGUCGGAAUCGCUAGUAAUCGUGAAUCAGAAUGUCACGGUGAAUACGUUCCCGGGCCUU
Molecule: ribosomal RNA, 270 nt
Filed under: uncultured Pseudomonas sp.
Lineage: Bacteria; Pseudomonadati; Pseudomonadota; Gammaproteobacteria; Pseudomonadales; Pseudomonadaceae
Description: partial 16S ribosomal RNA
Rfam family: Bacterial small subunit ribosomal RNA
Source: RNAcentral